RNAcentral lists this ribosomal RNA (1767 nucleotides) under Triticum aestivum (bread wheat). Its description in RNAcentral is "partial small subunit ribosomal RNA". The record is from RNAcentral. Lineage: Eukaryota; Viridiplantae; Streptophyta; Magnoliopsida; Poales; Poaceae.
AUGGCCACGUUCUUCUCCACUUCAAACGAUCAGAGGGGCCUCGCCGGCGGCGGCGGAGGUGCCGGCGACAUGUCAUUCCACCACCACUACCCCAUGUCCAACCAAUACCCAGACUCGUCGAUCGGCGGCCUGAUCCCGCUCCCGGCGUCCAUCGUGCAGCAGAGCCACAUAGCGCACGGCGGCGGCGGCGGCGAUGGCCGAGACGACGAGCAGGCCGCGUUCAUGGGCUCGAGGGACGGCUCCGAGCUCGGCGGCCUGCAGACGCAGAUGCUCAUGGGAGACGGCGGCGCGUCGGCAGGGCAGCGCAGUCACCAGGGUGGCCUGUCGCUCAGCCUCGGCUCGCAGGUGCCGGUGUCCCUCUACCAGUACGGCCGUCCGGGCGGCAUGGCUGCGGCCGCUUCCCCCACCUUGAUGAGCCCGAACCAGUCGGCGAUGGCGAUGGCGGCGAGCAGGAACGCGCAGGUGAACGUGUACGUGCAGAACUCGAGGUUCCUGAAGGCGGCGCGCGAGCUGCUGGACGAGGUGGUCAGUGUCCGGGACGCGAUCAAGAGGAAGGGGGACAGGAAGGACGACUCGGCCGGCAACGGCGAGUGCGGCAAGGUCGAGGGCGACAAGGGCGAGGAGAACGAGGGGAGCUCCGCCGCCGAGCUGUCGCCGGCGGAGAGGCAGGACCUCCAGAACAAGGUGACGGCACUGAUGGCCAUGCUGGACCAGGUGGACCGGAGGUACAGGCACUACCACCAGCAGAUGCAGAUGGUAGUGUCGUCGUUCGACGCGGUGGCCGGCUCCGGCGCGGCGAGGCCUUACACGGCGCUGGCCCUGCAGACGAUCUCCCGGCACUUCCGGUCGCUGCGGGACGCGAUCGGCGCGCAGGUGCAGUCGGCGCGGCGGAGCCUCGGCGAGCCUCAGGACGGCUCCGGCGCGGGGGGCCUGUCUCGGCUGCGGUACAUCGACCAGCACCUCCGGCAGCAGCGCGCCAUGCAGCAGUUCGGCAUGAUGCAGCAGCCGCAGCACGCGUGGCGGCCCCAGCGCGGCCUCCCGGAGUCCGCCGUCUCCGUCCUCCGCGCCUGGCUCUUCGAGCACUUCCUCCACCCGUACCCCAAAGACUCGGAGAAGGUGAUGCUGGCGAGGCAGGCCGGCUUGUCCAGGGGGCAGGUGUCGAACUGGUUCAUCAACGCGCGCGUCCGCCUAUGGAAGCCGAUGGUGGAGGAGAUGUACAAGGAGGAGUUCGGCGCGGAGAUGGACUCCACCAACUCGUCGUCGGAGAACGCCGGCAACAAGCACAGCAAGGUGGACGAGGCGGCAUGCUCGGAGGACCAGGACCGCGACGAGUUCCAGAGCACGUCGACGCACGCCGGCGCGAGCCAGCUGCUGAACGCCUACAAGUCGGAGCCGGUGGGCAGCAUGGACGCCGGCCCGCUGUCCAGCUUCGGCGGCGGCGACAUGGGCACGUACGCGCCAGCAGGCCUCAGCCUGAACCACCACGGCCCGGGCGGCGGCAGCCUCCUGCAGGACGCGUUCCCGCACCACGGCGACGACACCAGGUUCGUGCCGUACGGCGGCAACAUGGGCGACCUCGGCGGCAGCGUGUCGCUGACGCUGGGCCUGCAGCACUGCAACAACAACAACAACGCCGGCCACGUGCCGCCCGAGCAGCAGGGCCUGCUGUACGGCAACCCCGGCGACUUCGACUUCCUCAACGGCGGCGACGACCGGCAGCGGUUCGCCUCGUCGUCGUCGCAGCUGCUGCACGACUUCGUCACUUGA